Long non-coding RNA from Globicephala melas (long-finned pilot whale), 4819 nucleotides. RefSeq lists it as uncharacterized. The record is from RefSeq and is a predicted model, not a curated record. Lineage: Eukaryota; Metazoa; Chordata; Mammalia; Artiodactyla; Delphinidae.
GGCCUCUCACUGUUAUGGCCUCUCCUGCUGUGGGAUCUUCCCAGACCGGGGCACGAACCCGCAUCCCUUGCAUCGGCAGGCGGACUCUCAACCACUGCACCACCAGGGAAGCCCUUAAGAGAGCCCUCAGCAUGGGACAUGGGUCUGGCUGCUGAAAGAAGUUUCCAUGCAAAUCUCAUUCUCUAUUUUCUGUAAUCACCACCUGAAAUACAUCAUAUCCUGCUGUAGCUUCCUACAAAAGACACAUGAGAGCCGGAUAAUUGGUGGUGAACCUGCCAACGUCACUGAGGAGAAUGUUUCAGAAGUGAUCUCAGAGUUGCCUCCAUAAACAAGAGUGGCUCAAGACAGAGCAGAGGAGCAAGCUGCAGACCCAUAGUUGAGACUGAGGAACACUUCAGGAGUACAUGGUAACGUGCCAGGAGGCACCAAGAGCCACCAGAGGAACAGUCUACAUUUUCCUAUAACGAAAAUUUUACUUGCUCUCAUGUAUGGAAAACACGCUCUUUGUAUUCAAUAGCACAGAUAUAUUGCGAAGUGGAAUUUAAACGUUGCAUGAAUUUUAAGGUAAGAUAUUAGAAUGCAAUGAGAGGCUGCCUGGAGGUUGGGACAGGAUUCUCCCCUCCGCUGCUCAGGGUACUCGGGAGUAAACACUGGAGAAGCAGUGCCGCAAGCACCAGAGAUGCUGACACUGUCCUUUCACAUCUACCAUGAAGCAAAGCUACUCAUGUCCAGCAACAAGCAGGUAUAGCGAUGCCGCAUGGAGCCACUCCGAGUACUGCAGGUCACACAAAGCACACUGCUGACGCUGACCUUAGCUGGCGGGAAAAGCAAACCACAGGGGCUGGAGUCCAAAAACCCGGGUUCAAGUGCUACUCUGUCUCCUCCAGGCUCUAAGGUGCUAGACAAAGCUCUUAACCAGACUGUGAGAGAGAUCUCCCUGUAGCACCUGUCACCCCGUGGGUCCUCAAGAAAUAUUUGACUGUAGAGCUGGCCAGGCAGGUUCCACUUCCACCCACAUGCUGCACAAGGAUCUCUUCAAAGCUGAGCCCUGGGCGGAAGAGUAAAACCUUUUCACAUAGAGGUGGGAAGAGUCCUUUCUGCUAAUGGCUUAAAACAAGUCAUUUAUGUCCUCUAAGCUCAACUUCUUCUGAAGGGUGGGACUCAUAAUAACAAUACCUCCCUAAGAGGGUUAUUCUAAGGAUGAAAUGAGACGUGAAAAUCCAGGAUAAACACACCUCCUCUUAUGUAACAAUGAGAAUGAUCAUUUUUAUAAUCGUCAGCUUAUAUUUGCCUUAUGUCAAAGGUUUAUAUAAAGUUGGUUUCCAAUAAUACAUGGAGCACCUAAUUUUUUUUUUAAUUGGUUCAGGGACACCGAAAUUUUCUCUCUUUAAUUGUACCAGAAGUAAAACAAAAAUUACACUGCUCCAAAGUUGUCAGAGGAUUUUAUAACAUGGAGAACACAUUUCCCAAACCCUUCUGAAGUUAUAAUAAAAUCAUCAAAGCUUAGGAAGUUAUUAGUAAUGUACUAUUUCUAACUCUUGUGAAAAUGCGGGUUCUGCUUAAAGAAGAGAGUAGUUUAAGUCUAUUUAGUGGGUUCAGGGAAGAUGACUACAGUGGCAGUGUAAUUUUGAAUCCAAAUCUUAACAUAAAAACAUAUGGGGCUUCUCUGGUGGCACAGUGGUUAAGAAUCCACCUGCCAACGCAGGGCACAUGGGUUCAAGCCCUGGUCGGGGAAGAUCCCACAUGCCGUGGAGCAACUAAGCCCAUGCGCCACAACUGCUGAGCCUGUGCUCUAGAGCCCGCGAGCCACAACUAGUGAAUCCCACGAGCCACAACUACUGAAGCCUGUGCACUCUAGGGCCCACGUGCCGCAACGGCUGAGCCUGUGCUCUAGAGCCCGCGAGCCACAACUACUGAAGCCCACGAGCCACAACUACUGAAGCCUGUGUGCUCUAGGGCCCACGUGCCGCAACUACUGAAGCCCGUGUGCCUAGAGCUGUGCUCUGCAACAAGAGAAGCCACCGCAGUGAGAAGCCCCUGCACGACAACGAAGGGUAGCCCCCGCUCGCCGCAACUAGAGAAAGCCCACGCACAGCAACGAAGACCCAACGCAGCCAAAAGUAAAUAAAUAAAACAUUAAAAAAGAAAACAUAUAGAACAACAACUUAGCAAAAUCAAAAUCCCAUGGACAACAUUUACAUGGACGCUAGGCUGCAAGGCACCCACACAAACUUCAAAAUACAUGUGAAUGAGAACAAACCACCCACAGCCAUAAGACCUGGAUCCUAUCAGCAUGUGAGUAGGAAAAGGAGAGAGAAGCAGUGAAACUUGACAGACUUUGACAGACUUGAGAAGAGAAGCCCUAGAUAGCAAGGACUAUUUGCUGGAAAGCAUGUAGUCAGGUUUUGCCCAAUCAGGUAGGUGGUGAGUGCAAGGGGUCUGCUACAAAGACUGGAGGUGCUUAAGCAGCCCUAGAGACUGACUUGCCAGAGCUUCCUUUCAGGACAGAGUGUCACACUGAAGAGAAAUGCUGAGAGUGGAAUCAAAAUUAAGCUGGACAGAGACAGAACAACAGAUAGAGGAGGCCCAGAUAAAAGGGCCAGGGAAGGGAACAGAACCAGGAAAUCUCGUAAAGCAAGCUGACCCUUCUUAGCACUACCUGAAAACAACAGAAGAGGGAGUUUAUGAAGCUAGAAAAGCUACUCAAAGCUGUGUCUCCUACUAAAAGUUCUGGAAAGCCAUUUUAACAUAAAAAUGAGAAACAGAAAAGUGUUGAGGCCAAAUGCCUUGCAAAGUUAUUUCUAAGAAAAACAAUGAGCACCAUAAAUAUCCCUACACCAGAAAGACAUGCUCACAGAACAAAUCAAAACUAUUAUCUUCUAUCUCAAAAGAAGCGAAAAUACAUUAAGAAAGCGAUAAAGACAUGAAGUGAAAACAUUAUUAAAAUACGCUGCCACUAAGGUGGUAAAAGCCAGGAGACAAUUAGAAAUUUUCUAAAAAAUUAUUUCAGAAGUGACACUAAAAUGAAGGCAUGCAGAGCAAACAUAAUAAAACAGAUUAAGCCUUAAAAGAAAUAAAAUAUUAAAAGGAGGACAUUUUUUAUUUUUUCCCAACAAAAUUUUUUUUUAAUAUUUAUUUAUUUUUAUUUAUUUAUUUUGUCUGUGCCAGGUCUUAGUUGCGGCAUGCAGGAUCUUUUUUAGUUGCCCCAGGCAGGCUCAUAGUUGUGGCAUGUGGGCUUCUUAGUUGCGGCAUGUGGACUUCUUAGUUUUGGCAUGCGAACUCUUAGUUGCAGCAUGCAUGUGGGAUCUAGUUCCCUGACCAGGGAUCGAACCCCUGCCCCCUUCAGUGGAAGGGGACCACCAGGGAAGUCCCAAAGGAGGAAAUUUUUUAAAUAAAAAGUAAAGAAAAAGAUAAGAAACAUUUGACAGAAAAUGACAAAUAUUGGGACUCUAGAGCCUGCGUGCCACAACUACUGAAGCCCGCGCGCCUAGAGCCCAUGCUCCGCAACAAGAGAAGCCACUGCAAUGAGAAGCCCGCAAACCACAACAAAGAGUAGCCCCCGCUCACCGCAACUAGAGAAAGCCUGCAUGCAGCAACGAAGACCCAGCGCAGCCAAAAAGAAAAAAGAAAAAAAAAAAAAACAAAUAUUAAAGAUGGGCAAAGAAGAUUCAACCUCAUAUAACUGAAAUCUUUGAAGACGUGUAAAGCAAGGGGACAAAACAUAUACUAAAAAAUAUAAUUAAAGAGAAAUUUUCUUUAUAAAAAACAAUAUGAAGCUACAUAUUGAAAAAAUAUACUGUGUAGCUGAGACUCUUGACCCAGAAUUAUCAACACCAAGACAAAUUUCUAACAAAAUAGAUGAACUUUAAAGAAAAAAAAAUUCCAUUGAGUAUCCAAUCAAAACCAAAAGUGACUUAAAAGGUAAAAAAGUAGAUUAUCAUCAGGGUUUUUUUGACAGCUAUACUUUAUACCAGAAGAAAACAGAAUAAAAUAUUUAACAGAUACAAGGAAUAAAAUGUAAACCAAGGAUUUUAUAUUCUGCGAAACUGACUUUCAACUAUAAAAGGCACAAAACAACAGUUAUCAAUAUGCAAGGACUCAGAGAAUAUCGUUCUCAAGAAUCUAGAGAAGGACGAGUAUUAGACAAUCAACAUGAUUAAAGAGACAUCAUCAGUAAAGAGACAUCAGGUGGUAGACAGUAAAACAUAGUUAUCUGAAGAACUAGUAAUAAGUGAGAGUUAAAUGAAAGUAUAACAUAUAAAAGCUAUAUUCUCACAUAAUGUAGAUACAGUAUAACUAUAAAAAAUGGGAUGAGGGUGAGGAGAGCAUAUAAAAAAAUUCAGCUGUUCUUUGUAAUUAUAUUGGUGGUGGUAAUAUGUGUAUUGUUAUUCUAAGCCUGUCAUGUGUACAAUGUAGAAUAAUGUAAAUGAGUAAUUAUGAGAUACAAUUCCAUCAUCUACUGUACACUUGGGAACCAGAAAUCUUGUUAUGGAGGAAGAGAGCUAUAGAUGCAGUAAAAGUAUAAAAAAGUCUAGGUUAAAAUCCCAUAGUACUGAUUUUUAAUUGGAAAUAUCAGCAUAAUCAUUAGGUAUUUUAUCUGUAAAAUUAUAUCUAUAUGUAUAUUUAUCAAUAGAUAGUUUUCCUAGCUCUGCCGCUGAAAAGGUCAAGUAGCAAUAAGUAACCAACCCAGGAGCAAUAAGCAUUAGCACUCAGAUUGUGGUCUUGAAAUCGUAAAAGAAAUAAGGCUUUUGGAAACAUGACUGAUUUCCUAUCUGGGGUAGGAUGCAUACAAGAUGAAUGUGAACAUCUGUUAUUAAAA